Rattus norvegicus (Norway rat) is the source of this 8775-nucleotide non-coding RNA. NCBI's taxonomy places the organism in Eukaryota, Metazoa, Chordata, Mammalia, Rodentia, Muridae. The record is from RefSeq and is a predicted model, not a curated record.
AGUGUUGGUGGUCUCUUCCGCUCUGCAGCCUCAGGAGUGCCCACCUGACCAGGCGGUUGGGUCUCUCUCUCACCGGGUCUGGGAGCAGAGAGCUGCUGCGGGCCGGGAUCCGCGGGUGUGGGACUUCCGGUAAACACAGAAUGUGCCCGGUUCUAGAGAAAUUCUGCUUCCGUGUGUCCCAAGCUCACCAGGCAGCUUUCUUGCAGCAGAAAAUUUGGUCUUACCUGUGGUCUCGAGGCUCAAGUUCGCUCGUGGGGUGCUGCCCAGGGGCUCUCUGCAGCGGCAGCAACCAGGAAGACCUGUGCCGCCCCUUCCGGGAGCUUCAGUGCACCAGGGUUCCAGAUGGUCUUUGGCUUUUUCCUCUGGCGUCCGAGAUGUGUGUGCAGGGAGCAGUCUCUUCUGGUUUCCCAGGCCUGUCUGCCUCUCUGAAGGUUUAGCUCUCCCUCCCACGGGAUUUGGGUGCAGAGAAUUGUUUAUCCGGUCUGUUUCCUUCAGGGUCCGGCGGUGUCUGUGGCAGGGGUCCUGCCGCUCCUGGGCCCCCCCCCCCACGGGAGCCCAGAGGCCUUAUACAGUUUCCUCUUGGGCCAGGGAUGUGGGCAGGGGUGAGCAGUGUUGGUGGUCUCUUCCGCUCUGCAGCCUCAGGAGUGCCCACCUGACCAGGCGGUUGGGUCUCUCUCUCACCGGGUCUGGGAGCAGAGAGCUGCUGCCCCAUUCCUUCUUUAAAAGUGGAACAAGAAUACUCUUGGGUGGGAAUAGGUAAGCAAAGUUUAGAACAGAGGGUGAAGGAACGCCCAUUCAGAGCCUGCCCCACAUGUGACCCCUACAUAUACAGCCACCAAACUAGAUAGAUGGAUGAAGCAAAGAAGUGAAGACUGACAGGAACCGGAUGUAGAUCUUUCCUGAUAGACACACCCAGAAAAUGGCAAAUACAUAGGCGAAUGCCAGCAGCCAACCACUGAACUGAGAAUGGGACCCUUGUUGAAGGAUUCAGAGAAAGGACUGAAAGAGUUGAGGGGCUUGAGACCCCAUAUGAACAACAAUGCCAACCAACCAGAGCUUCCAGGGAGUAAGCCACUACCCAAAGACUAUACAUGGGCUGACCCUGCAUAUGUGGAUGAAGAUUAUUGGCAUAGUUAUCCAAAACACAGGAAUUGAGAGCUUCGAAGUCACUGGGAAAAGAAAGGCAUCCUACACCUCAAGUUUCCAGAAAGACAGGCAACUUCCAGUCCUUUCCUGUGACUGUUCUAGCAAUUGGAUUAAUGUUCAUCCUCGGAUGCCCGUGUUCACAUAUUGCUGUCUCUUUUUAGACAAAGCAAUAGAGACUUGUUGGCUUGAAGAGGCUUAUCCAACAUCACCGAAAUAGUAGGAGCCAAAGUUCAAAGUGAACCCCAUCUGUCUUCCUUACUCUUAACCUUUUAUGUCAAUUCAUCCAUGGCACGCCCUCUAGAAGUGGCCAGUGUGGAGGAUUAGGGAGACAGCGAGACAAUCAAAGGAUAGCUCAAAGUAGGAAGGUGUGUAUCUGUAUGAUUCAGAGAAUUCACUAGGGAUAUCAGCCUUCUCUGGCCACAGAAGGUUCAGCCCCAGAAAGAAACUCUGCAAAGGAGCAGAGGUCCUGCUAACCACAGGUGGAGACCAGUGAGGCUUACUAAUUAUUUAAGAUCAGAGCGUAAGAAGGUCAUGAGACUGGGGCUGGAGCUUGGGUGUCAGAUGUACUGCCAUUUCCCCUGAGCUUUGUCUGGUGGUGUUUGUUUGUUUUGUUCUUUUGACACUUUGCGAAGACUUGACUUCCAGUAUUUAAAAAAAAGACUCAAAUGAAUUGAAGAUCACAGAAAAGCUUUGCAUAAACACUCAAGGGAACUGGGAAAAUUAUGUAAGGAGUUAUACAGAUGUGUGUAAUACCAAAAAAAAAAAAAAAACUUUAAUGCAAAGGAGCCAGGACCAGGAAGAUUGCACAAGUUCAAGGCUAGUCUGAGACUACAUAGUGACUUCCAGAUCAGCCCAUGAAACAUAAGGAGUCUCAGUUUUAAACCCACCAAGAACAGAAACUCUGUGUGUGUCUAUACAAAAAUCAGACUAAUCUUGUUCUUGCUACAGUUUCUGAUAGUUACGUUUUACAAUAAUUUUAUGCUCAGUUAUAUUUUGCAUAGGGUCUCACAAUUUUGUACAGGCUAGCUUUGAACUCCUGGCUUACAGGAUCUUCCUUAGCCCUGGAUAUCUAGGAAGAGAUACAAGUCAUCUUACCUGGAUCUUUGCUAACUUUUAAGCUAUCAUUGUACACAGACCUUGCCUUAACAAGAACAGGUGUGCUUCUCUUAGAAAUAUUGAAAACAGAAAAGCUAAUUCCAUAUAAUAGUCCUUGUUGAUACUGAAGAUUUCUUCCUGAAAAAAAUCAAAGAAAAUCAGCAUUGCACAGUUUCUUCUUGGCUGAUCUUCAAAAGGGAAAAAUAAAUAAUAUGUUUCCUCACAUUUUUAUUUCUACCUAUAAUUUUGGAUAUACCAUAUUGUGUAUAUAUAUAGUAUCUACAAGGGUAUGUACUGCACCUUUGGUCUGUUUCUUUAUUCAGUAUUGUUACAUUAUCUCCUUAGGAGUCUUGUACAUGUAUACGCUCAGUGAACAAAGCCGAACAGAGAGCAGAGUAUACUUGGUUAUGCAGCCUUUAUAGGGGGAUCUAUAUCUAACAUUGCUACAAAUUACAAAACAAAAACAAAACAAAACAACCACCAUAACAGAAGUGAUGAGGAAUUCUGAGUUCUUAUUAAAGUGGUAGUCCAACUUAUAUCUAGACAUACUUGAUAAUCCCUAUAUAAACCAGGCUGGUUAAAUCAUCAAGAUUUAAUGGUAAGUGUUCUAGUUUGACCUGAUUGCUGUGAUGAAACAUCAAGACCAAAUGUAACUUGCUGGGGGUGGAGGGAGGAUUUAUUUAAUCUUACAGCUGUAGUCCAUCACCUAGGAAAGUCAGGGCAGGAAGUCAAGGCAGGAACCUGAAGGCAGGAGCUGAUGUGGAAGCCAUAGAGGAGUGCUUCCUUCUUGCUUACUCCCCAUGGCUUGCUAAGCUUGCUUUCUCAUACAGCACAGGCCAACCUUCCCAGGGUGAUACCCACAGUGAGCUGGGUCCAUCAGUCAUUAAUCAAGAAAAUGCCCUCCAGAGUUGCCUAGAGCAAUCCGGUGGAGGCAUUUUCUCAAUUGAGAUUACCUCUUCCUAAAUGACUCUAGGUUACUAAAAAAUGGACAAAAACUAAGCAGCAUAGUGAGGUUGACUCUUCUGUGGGUGGAGGGAACACUUGUUGUUGUCUUAUGUGAGGAAAAAUAAAUGUCCAAAUCAGAGCCAGUCUGACGUUUGUUUUGUUAACCACAUACUAAGGCAAGAGAUUUUGCUUGAAUUUGUGCCAGCCUGGACUUUACUGUUCAUGUGUAUAGCAGGCUAUACACAUUGUGAACUGUGUAAUGACAAUCAAACAAACUCAGAGUCAAGCAAAUGCACAUGCUGGCAAAGAUGGAAGAUUCAAAGCCUUCACUCUGUUUGAAGGUUAUCAGAGCCUUGUCCUCUCCUGGAAAGGUCAGCAAUAGGGAUUCUAGGAUGGCUUUUAGCUUCAACUGACUUUGCUCAGGUGUAUUGCUAAAGUUUUGUUGUCUUUUCCUUACUUCUGAAAACCUGAUUCAUGGCCUCUAUCCAGCUGCUAGAUCAGAGGUUCUCACCCUUCCUAAUGCUGUGACCCUUUAAUAAAACAGUUCCUCCUAUUGUGGUGACCCCCAAACAUAAAAUUAUUUCCCUUGCUACUUCAUAACUGUAAGUGUUACUUAUAUGAACCAUAAUGUAAAUAUAUGAUAUGUAACCACUGUAAAGCGGUUGUGACCCACAGGUUGAGACCCACUGUGCUCAAGUCUUCCUCAGAACUGUUUUUUCCACCUUUCAACAUCUAACUCUGCAGAAAGGAAUCACUCUAAGCUUUUCUCCCAGGCAACAGCAGAGAACAAGAUAGACACUAGAAAAGAAUAAUAACCUGACAAUAUUUGAGUUACUGGGUCAUUCAGGUGGUAGGUAAGUCACAAUGAUUGUGAAGAAAGAAGGAGGGGAGAAAAGAGGAGAGGAGAGGAGUGGAGCCUUUUGUAAUUGUUGGGUUCAUUCUGAGGGUUUCUGAGCAAUCUCUUGUCUGCUACAAUAGAGCGAGCCUAAAGCAGGGACUGGCUUCAACAGUCUUUUCCUAGCAUUGGGCUGUGGGGACGCCAGGCAGCUAUGCUAUGGCUAAAUGAGUUCAGGAUGCCACAGUCACCAGCAGAAGAGGUCCAUGUGGAUUUACAUCUGCAGUAUGACAAGAGAUGCUGCUUCCUGUUGACCUUGCAGCUGGCACACCAGCAGGUUUCCACAGGCUGGACACAGCCACCUUGGUUCUGUGAUUCUGAGGUUUUAUUUUUGUCAGAGGGGCAAAUUUAAUUUCUUGUAGGAAAGUAUAGAUGGAUUUUCACAUUUUCUGCCACUGAGCAUCUUCAGGAAUCAUUUGUACAAGCCUCUGACCACAGUGCUUGAGAAUCUUUGACAGACUUGCCCCAGAUGAUAUCAAUCCAGAUGAUAGGGGUGAAAGAGAUUCCUUUGAAGAUGGCUGAGGUGGAAGACAUUAUUUUUCUCUCUCGAUCUUUUGUGGGGGAAAUUUGGCACAUCAAUAAAGUAAAAAUAAAUGAAUAAAAACAUAAAUCCCCGGGGCAUGGCUAGCAGGAACCAGAGUGAGCAUUAAGAGCACUAAGGAAACUGACACCCGCCUGGCCAGCACAAAGGCGCAGACUCAGGAUGAAACAAAACAAAACAAAAAGCUGGGAAGUGGGUCCAUGGUCUACUUGUAGAUCCUGUGUUGAAUCCUCAGAACCUUUUGAAUCCCAGUGCUUUUUAAACAGGCCCCUGAAGCUUGCUGGACAGCCAAUCAUGGCUCAGUAAGAUAUCUUGUCUCAAAAAACAAGGUGAAGAGUAACUGAGGAAUACACCUGAUGUAACCCCCUCCCUCUCUCAUGUACACACAUGUGCACACACACACACACUACAGAAUAACUACAAGAAAGAAACCCUAACUGUAAAGGUUGCUGUCUUUUUCCCCAGUGGAACUGGGCAAUCAGGCUGGUACAAUCCUGCCACUUUGGACUCCCACUAACCUAUGUGUUCCAGAUGCAAUUCCUCAGUUUUCCCUUCUCCUGUACUUCAGGCAUCCUGAUUUUAGUCUUAUGUCAACCUGACACAAGCUACAGUUAAUUGGGAAAGAAGACUCCUAAUUGAAAAAAAUACUUGGAGUAUGUAUCUAUGUUACUAUGGAGCACACUUAUACCACCUCAUUGAAAAUCAAGUUAACAGUACAUAGAACUUUAAUAAAUACAAAUAAUCUUUAUCUCUUGAACUGUGUCCUAGUGAUGAAUUCAUACACGAGUAAGAUGAGGUGUGCUUGAAACUUAGUUUCAGCAUUGGUUAUAAACAGAAAGGACUAAAACCAUUGGGCUCCCAUAUGUAGACAUACCCUAAGUAUAUCUGUACAAUAAAUCCUGCACAUCUAUGAAAAGGAAAUUGGAGGCACUGUGUGCAUGUCUUUACCUCAAGGCCAGUGUGCUGCCAACUUAACUCCUGGAUGGCACUACAGUUAUCCUUCUUGAUGAACACACAUGUGCCAGUUACAUAGCCUAACCAACUGCCUUGGAGAAGUACCCACAAAUAGGAAAAUCAUGCUUGCUUGUUGCAAAUAGAUGUUGAGAAUGGAAGAGGAUAAUAUAUUCUGCACACCAUUUUCAGGUUAACAGUGAUUGAGCAUCUACUCCUGUUAUAUGGCUGUCAAAAAGAUUGUAAGAGGGCUUUACAAGUGAACAUGGCAUGUGGUAGAAAGAAGUGAGGAUAUUGCAAUCUCUUCAUGCUGGUGCUCUUAAUGACUAGCUACAUAUGUGGAAGAAAAGGAAGUGAAGCGUGGGUUUAUUUAAUGCCCUUACAAGAAUAGGUUGGAGAGAAUAGCUAAAGAAAUGAAUAGAACUACAGAUUUUUAACUACAGUUAAAAUAUAAUCAUGGAACCUCCACCAGUACAUAAAUGCUUUUUCACUGUUUUAAUCACCAUGCUGGGGACAGCAGUAGCAGGUUAGUGAUGAUCCUGCUGUGAAUGAAGUCACCAAAGACAGAAAAGGAGACUUAGUAAGAGAACUUCAAAAGCUUUGGUGGGCAAGUUCUUGGAGAAAUGAUCACACCUGCUGGGAGGGAAAGCUCUCCUCCGCUCUGCAGCCUCAGGAGUGCCCACCUGACCAGGCAGUGAGGUCUCUCUCCCCUGGUGUUCAAUUCUUAAUCGAGAAAGAAGACAGAAAUUUCUGAAUUCAAUCUCAAGUAUCUUAGAUUGAUUGGUGUUGCGACACCAUCACAAAGCUAUAAGAAACCUAUUAACACAAUCUUUACCAUUAGCAAAAGCACGUCUAAUAGAGGUUUGAGAGGUUCAUUCAUCUCCAUUUCUUUACCAAUGUGCAUUUUCAGAGUAUUCACACAUUACUUCAUGUUUGUAUAACUGCAUGCUCAUGACCUUAUGAGAUAAAUUAUGACUCCUAUUUCUUUUUUCUAGUGAAGGAAGAGACAGAGAAAAAUUCCUUGCCAUAAAAAGAAGAAAUCUAGCUGGGUCCAGUGGAAUCAAUCUACAAUUCCAGCUAUGUAGGAGGUUGAGAAAGGAGGAUCAAUAGUUCAAGGCCGGUCUGGGCUAUAAAGAAAUAUUCUUCCUGCCAAGGUUAUUGGGGAAUGUCAUCUCUGCCAAGGUUAAUGACUACUUGGUAACCAGAGACAGCAUGACUCCAGGAGGCAAAGCCCUGACACACUAACACUCCCAAACCUGAGAAAGGUGAACUGUCAUCGACUAAAAGAAACCCAAUAGGAACAUCUGCCAGGUAUCGUGACAAACUUUACUUUGAUUAUGACUAGAACCAAACAACUGUUGUGACUGGUGAGGUGGUGCAAGCUUCCUCCAUCUUAUAUUCUUGCUGAGGCUGUUUCCAGGCUUAACUGGAAUCAGAUCUUGCAGUAUCCCAUGGAAAACUACCCAACGCUAUUCUAGGAACUGAAGAUCAGGAUGUCCUUGCUAAGCUACCUAAGCUUUGUUGAAAUUGCUUAUUUGUACAGGAAACGCCUCCAGCUAAGCCUUUAUUGUAGCUGCCUGUUUGCGUGGAAUCUCUCUGCCGCUGACUAACUGCUUGUCUUCUCUUCAUGACGCUUGCUUCGAACUGCUUGCUCUGUGAAGUCCCCACUACAACUACCAAGGGAGAUGGAUGCUUUGAUGAAGUCUCCGCACUCAGAAGCCCCAUGUUCUGGACGCUGGGGACCACACCUGGAUGAACCCUCAAUACUUUGGUGUGGUCCCUCCCAGCUGGUUGGGAUAAAGACUUUGAUUGUAUAUACACUGCGUCUCAAUGAUCAUCUCUGUUAAGCUUCCCAUAACACUGUAAAAAAAAAUACAGCUGAGACACUGGGGAAAACUAGAACUCAGCAAUACUAAGCAAUUAUUGGGAACUUAACUGUUAGAAUGUUACUAUUGUUUUUAUAAGCUUUAUUUUUAUUUAUGGAUUUGUGUGAAUGUCAUAUGUGUGCUAGUGCUUGCAGAAACCAAACAAGGAUGUCAGGUCCCCUGAACCUAGAGAUGCAAGCAGUUGUGACCUGAACUCAGGUCCUGUCAUAGUUAGGGUUUCUACUGCUGUGACUAAAAGCAACUUGGGAAAGAAAGAGGUUAUUUGGCUUAGAAGUUCCAAUCAAAGUCCAUUAUAAAGUCAGGGCAGGAACUAAAGCAAGAUCCUUAGAGGAAUGUUGCUUACUGGGCGCUCUCCUGGUUUCUCUGCAUUGCUUUCAUAUAUAUCUCAGGACUCCCUGUCCAGAGAUGGCACCAUCCACAGUAGAGGUUCUUCCACAUCAAUCAUCAGUCAAGAAAAUACCACACAGACUUGUCUACAGGCCCAUCUGAUGGAGGCAUAUUCUCAGCUGAGCUUCACUCUUCUUAGAUGACUCUAGUUUUGUCGAGUUGUCGAAAGGAAGGAAGGAAGGAAGGAAGGAAGGAAGGAAGGAAGGAAGGAAGGAAGGAAGGACAAAAGAAAGAAAGGAAGGAAGGAAGAAAGAAAGGAAGAAAGAGAAAAAAGUCUUCCAUAAGAACGGCAAAUACUCUUAACUACUGAGAUAUCUCUCCUGUCUCUGUCAGUUUUUGAAGUUAUUCAUCAGAACUUUAUAUUGAAAUAUUUGUGCAGGUGGAUGAGUGUUGCCUGUACACUUGGCAGCUCUCUGCCCAACCCAACCUGCCCUUGAUGGUUGGGGGCAAGUUUACACAGAUUCAAUGACACAGACUCAAGGAGCAGGUGAGAAAAGCAGCAGCAAGCUCAUCUGAGCACUGCUGCAAGUUCCUUUAAUACCCUCCACUCAUGCCCCCAUUGGUUCCAAGAAAGUAGCUAUUCUAAACAGCAGUUCCUGAUUGGCUGGCACUGUUUGCACCAGCAAUCCUUGCUCUCUCAGGCAGUUCUCAAUUAGGUCCUCCACAGGAAUGCUGGUGUCAUAGGCAAUUCUCAAUUAGGUCCUCUUACAGGAGGAGAUGCUUUGGCAGCUGCAGUGCCCCCAGAGUUUACAUAAAGAUAGCCCUGCCUUUCCUGCUACAGAUAAACCAAUACAAUGUCUCAGAUUUGCUAAGGCAAGCUAAAGGGGAAAAAGAAGGAAACAAAUACAAUAACAUAAACAUGGCAAUUGUUCAAGCUGGGUGAGAGGUAUAUGGAAUCCACUGUAAUGUUCUCUGUACAACUACAAAAA